Schistosoma mansoni is the source of this 45-nucleotide non-coding RNA. NCBI's taxonomy places the organism in Eukaryota, Metazoa, Platyhelminthes, Trematoda, Strigeidida, Schistosomatidae. The record is from Rfam.
AUCCAGCUGACGAGUCCCAAAUAGAACGAAGCGCGCGUCCUGGAU